GAGAAGCAAAGCUGGGGAGCGAACAGGAUUAGAUACCCUGGUAGUCCAUGCCGUAAACGUUGGGCGCUAGGUGUGGGACUCAUUCCACGAGUUCCGUGCCGCAGCUAACGCAUUAAGCGCCCCGCCUGGGGAGUACGGCCGCAAGGCUAAAACUCAAAGGAAUUGACGGGGGCCCGCACAAGCGGCGGAGCAUGCGGAUUAAUUCGAUGCAACGCGAAGAACCUUACCAAGGCUUGACAUAUACCGGAAACAUCCAGAGAUG
Molecule: ribosomal RNA, 262 nt
Filed under: uncultured Actinomycetes bacterium
Lineage: Bacteria; Bacillati; Actinomycetota; Actinomycetes
Description: uncultured actinobacterium partial 16S rRNA
Rfam family: Bacterial small subunit ribosomal RNA
Source: RNAcentral